This 273-nucleotide unclassified non-coding RNA is filed under the name uncultured Eucasphaeria. Its description in RNAcentral is "sequence contains ITS2". Lineage: Eukaryota; Fungi; Ascomycota; Sordariomycetes; Hypocreales. The record is from RNAcentral.
AACGCACAUUGCGCCCGCCAGCAUUCUGGCGGGCAUGCCUGUUCGAGCGUCAUUUCAACCCUCGCAGCCCCUCUGGGCAGCGGUGUUGGGGACCGGCACAACUGGCGCGCCCCCGUGGCGCCCGGCGCCGCCCCCGAAAUACAGUGGCGGUCCCGCCGCAGCCUCCCUUGCGUAGUAGCACACCUCGCACCGGAGCGCGGCGCGGCCAUGCCGUAAAACCCCCGACUUUCUGAGUUUGACCUCGAAUCAGGUAGGAAUACCCGCUGAACUUAA